Molecule: ribosomal RNA, 3095 nt
Filed under: Microbacterium timonense
Lineage: Bacteria; Bacillati; Actinomycetota; Actinomycetes; Micrococcales; Microbacteriaceae
Description: bacterial LSU rRNA
Rfam family: Bacterial large subunit ribosomal RNA
Source: RNAcentral
UUAAGAGCAAACGGUGGAUGCCUUGGCAUCUGGAGCCGAAGAAGGACGUAGCAAUCUGCGAUAAGCCUCGGGGAACUGAUAAGCAAGUUUUGAUCCGAGGGUGUCCGAAUGGGGAAACCCCGCUGGGCGGCGUGCCGACCCAGUGACUCCCGCCUGAAUAUAUAGGGCGGGUAGAGGGAACGUGGGGAAGUGAAACAUCUCAGUACCCACAGGAAGAGAAAACAACCGUGAUUCCGUGAGUAGUGGCGAGCGAAAUCGGAUGAGGCUAAACCGAGUACGUGUGAUAUCCGGCAGGAGUUGCGUAUUCGGGGUUGUGGGACUUUCCGUAUCAUUCUGCCGAGUGGUGAACGUGAUGCGUCGAUAUAGGUGAACGGUCUUGAAAGGCCGGCCAGAGUGGGUGCCAGCCCCGUAACUGAAAUGUCGGACGCAGCGUGGAGAGUAUCCCAAGUAGCACGGGGCCCGAGAAAUCCCGUGUGAAUCUGUCAGGACCACCUGAUAAGCCUAAAUACUCCCAGAUGACCGAUAGCGGACAAGUACCGUGAGGGAAAGGUGAAAAGUACCCCGGGAGGGGAGUGAAAUAGUACCUGAAACCGUUUGCUUACAAACCGUUGGAGCACCCCUGGUAGGUGUGACAGCGUGCCUUUUGAAGAAUGAGCCUGCGAGUUAGCGAUAUGUGGCGAGGUUAACCCGGGUGGGGUAGCCGUAGCGAAAGCGAGUCUGAAGAGGGCGAUUUCAGUCGCAUGUCCUAGACCCGAAGCGAAGUGAUCUAUCCAUGGCCAGGCUGAAGCGACGGUAAGACGUCGUGGAGGGCCGAACCCACUUAGGUUGAAAACUGAGGGGAUGAGCUGUGGAUAGGGGUGAAAGGCCAAUCAAACUUCGUGAUAGCUGGUUCUCUCCGAAAUGCAUUUAGGUGCAGCGUUGCGUGUUUCUUGCCGGAGGUAGAGCUACUGGAUGGCCGAUGGGCCCUACCAGGUUACUGACGUCAGCCAAACUCCGAAUGCCGGUAAGUGAGAGCGCAGCAGUGAGACUGUGGGGGAUAAGCUUCAUAGUCGAGAGGGAAACAACCCAGACCACCAUCUAAGGUCCCUAAGCGCGUGCUAAGUGGGAAAGGAUGUGGAGUUGCUUAGACAACCAGGAGGUUGGCUUAGAAGCAGCCACCCUUGAAAGAGUGCGUAAUAGCUCACUGGUCAAGUGAUUCCGCGCCGACAAUGUAACGGGGCUCAAGCACGCCACCGAAGUUGUGGCAUUGACAUUAUUGGUAGGCCUUCGUGGUCCAGCCGUGUUGAUGGGUAGGAGAGCGUCGUGUGGCGAGUGAAGCGGCGGGGUGACCCAGCUGUGGACGCUACACGAGUGAGAAUGCAGGCAUGAGUAGCGAAAGACGUGUGAGAAACACGUCCUCCGAAAGACCAAGGGUUCCAGGGUCAAGCUAAUCUUCCCUGGGUAAGUCGGGACCUAAGGCGAGGCCGACAGGCGUAGUCGAUGGACAACGGGUUGAUAUUCCCGUACCGGCGAAGAACCGCCCCAAUCAAUCCAGUGAUGCUAAGUGUCCGAACCUGUCCAUCGUUGCCUUCGGGUGACACCGGGCGGGGGAGCACACGACCCUAUGCUGGUGCGGUUAGCGUGUUAACAGGUGUGACGCAGGAAGGUAGCCCAUCCCGGGCGAUGGUUGUCCCGGGGCAAGUGCGUAGGCCGAGCUGUAGGCAAAUCCGCAGCUCAUGCAGGCUGAGACACGAUGCGGAUGAAAAGUGGGUGAUCCUAUGCUGCCGAGAAAAGCAUCGACGCGAGGUUCUAGCCGCCCGUACCCCAAACCGACUCAGGUGGUCAGGUAGAGAAUACCGAGGAGAUCGAGAGAAUCGUGGUUAAGGAACUCGGCAAAAUGCCCCCGUAACUUCGGGAGAAGGGGGGCCAUCCGCUUAUACCACCUUGCGUGGAAAAGGGUGUGGUGGCCGCAGAGACUAGUGGGUAGCGACUGUUUACUAAAAACACAGGUCCGUGCCAAGUCGCAAGACGAUGUAUACGGACUGACGCCUGCCCGGUGCUGGAAGGUUAAGAGGACGGGUCAGCCGCAAGGCGAAGCUCAGAAUUUAAGCCCCAGUAAACGGCGGUGGUAACUAUAACCAUCCUAAGGUAGCGAAAUUCCUUGUCGGGUAAGUUCCGACCUGCACGAAUGGCGUAACGACUUCCCAACUGUCUCAACCGCGAACUCGGCGAAAUUGCAUUACGAGUAAAGAUGCUCGUUACGCGCAGCAGGACGGAAAGACCCCGUGACCUUUACUACAGCUUGGUAUUGGUGUUCGGUGUGGCUUGUGUAGGAUAGGUGGGAGACUGUGAAGCGGAUACGCCAGUAUUCGUGGAGUCGUUGUUGAAAUACCACUCUGGUCACUCUGGAUGUCUAACUUCGAACCGUGAUCCGGUUCAGGGACAGUGCCUGGUGGGUAGUUUAACUGGGGCGGUUGCCUCCCAAAAAGUAACGGAGGCGCCCAAAGGUUCCCUCAACCUGGUUGGCAAUCAGGUGGCGAGUGUAAGUGCACAAGGGAGCUUGACUGUGAGACUGACAGGUCGAGCAGGGACGAAAGUCGGGACUAGUGAUCCGGCAGUGGCUUGUGGAAGCGCUGUCGCUCAACGGAUAAAAGGUACCUCGGGGAUAACAGGCUGAUCUUGCCCAAGAGUCCAUAUCGACGGCAUGGUUUGGCACCUCGAUGUCGGCUCGUCGCAUCCUGGGGCUGGAGUAGGUCCCAAGGGUUGGGCUGUUCGCCCAUUAAAGCGGUACGCGAGCUGGGUUUAGAACGUCGUGAGACAGUUCGGUCCCUAUCCGCUGCGCGCGUAGGAAGUUUGAGAGGAUCUGACCCUAGUACGAGAGGACCGGGUUGGACGAACCUCUGGUGUGCCAGUUGUACUGCCAAGUGCACCGCUGGUUAGCUACGUUCGGGAUGGAUAACCGCUGAAAGCAUCUAAGCGGGAAGCCGGCCUCAAGAUGAGACUUCCAUACCCUUUUGGGUGAGAGGCUCCCAGCCAGACUACUGGGUUGAUAGGCCAGAUGUGGAAGCACGGCAACGUGUGCAGCUGACUGGUACUAAUAAGCCGAUGACUUGAUA